AUUGAUCGCUGGCGGCAGGCCUAACACAUGCAAGUCGAACGGUAACAGGAAACAGCUUGCUGUUUCGCUGACGAGUGGCGGACGGGUGAGUAAUGUCUGGGAAACUGCCUGAUGGAGGGGGAUAACUACUGGAAACGGUAGCUAAUACCGCAUAACGUCGCAAGACCAACGAGGGGGACCUUCGGGCCUCUUGCCAUCGGAUGUUCCCAGAUGGGAUUAGCUAGUAGGUGGGGUAACGGCUCACCUAGGCGACGAUCCCUAGCUGGUCUGAGAGGAUGACCAGCCACACUGGAACUGAGACACGGUCCAGACUCCUACGGGAGGCAGCAGUGGGGAAUAUUGCACAAUGGGCGCAAGCCUGAUGCAGCCAUGUCGCGUGUAUGAAGAAGGCCUUCGGGUCGUAAAGUACUUUCAGCGGGGAGGAAGGGAGUAAAGUUAAUACCUUUGCUCAUUGACGUUACCCGCAGAAGAAGCACCGGCUAACUCCGUACCAGCAGCCGCAGUAA
Molecule: ribosomal RNA, 506 nt
Filed under: uncultured bacterium
Lineage: Bacteria
Description: partial 16S ribosomal RNA
Rfam family: Bacterial small subunit ribosomal RNA
Source: RNAcentral